This 969-nucleotide ribosomal RNA is filed under the name Triticum aestivum (bread wheat). RNAcentral's name for it is "partial small subunit ribosomal RNA". Lineage: Eukaryota; Viridiplantae; Streptophyta; Magnoliopsida; Poales; Poaceae. The record is from RNAcentral.
AUGACGUGGCUCUUGCACCAUGCUCUGCUCCUGGUGUUCAUGCUGUGGUUGCACCAUGCUCUGCUCCUGGUGUUCAUGCUGUGGUUGCACCAUGCUCUGCUUCUCAUGUUCGCCAACAGAGUCCGAGGCAGAGGAGCAGUCCACGAAGCAGAGCUUGAGGCGGCCGUCCUGGCGCUGGGCGUGGAGGUACACCUGGGGCUUCACGGCCACGGCCUCCAGCACGAGGCGCCCGUCGCGGCGGUGCGGGCGCACCCGCAGGCACGGCCCGGCAUCGUCGCCGCGCCGACGCGACAUGGACGGCAGCGGCGGCGGGAACGCGCGCUGAGGCCGCGCGCGGUGGUACUGCACCGCCUUCAGCGUCAGCUCCUCCUCCUCCUCUUCGCCUUCUUGCAAUGCCGGCGGCGAGACGAAGUCGGCGGCGACGGUAUCGUCGGUAUGGUGGGAAGUCGGCGGCGCGUAGAGGAGGGAUGCCAGGUCGAGAAAGUCGCCGCGGGUGCCGGUCUCGCAGCCGAGGCUCUCGGUGCAGAGGCCGAGGCUCUCGUGGCUCAUGGACCGCCGCACCGUCGCCAUCGGGUAGGUCGCCUUGGCCUUGGCCGGCGUGGGCGGGGCCUUGGUGGCGCAGUCGUCGUCAGCCGGGGCCUGGAUGGCGCUCCACAUGUCCAGCUGCUGCGACGGUGGCAUCGGCGCCGGCAUGCGAGUGCGAGUGUGAGGAGGAGGGACGUCCAGCGCCGGCAUGACAUGGCACACCGCCACCGUCAUCUCGAACGAUCUACAAAAAGAUCGCAGCCGAAGGUGGAGAUGAAGCUUGCUGGAGGAAUGAGUCUGUGCACAAACUGCACUAUGAAGAACAUAAUUUUAAAGAUUAGCAAGGACCCUACAGAGUCUUCCGGCUGGCUUGCCCAUUGCUCCUUAAUACUUAAAACUAUUGUCACACACAACAAAUGCCCAUUUCCAAGAUUGUACUACUAG